Molecule: ribosomal RNA, 253 nt
Filed under: uncultured bacterium
Lineage: Bacteria
Description: partial 16S ribosomal RNA
Rfam family: Bacterial small subunit ribosomal RNA
Source: RNAcentral
GACGAACCGUGCAAACGUUAUUCGGAAUCACUGGGCAUAAAGGGCGCGUAGGCGGCUUCAUAAGUCAGGGGUGAAAUCCGGCAGCUUAACUGUCGCAGUGCCUUUGAUACUGUGGAGCUCGAGGGAGGUAGGGGUCUGUGGAACUUCCGGUGGAGCGGUGAAAUGCGUUGAUAUCGGAAGGAACAUCAGUGGCGAAAGCGGCUUCCUGGUCCAGCACCGACGUUCAGGCACGAAAGCGUGGGGAGCAAACAGG